ACGGGUGAGUAAUACAUCGGAACGUGUCCUGGAGUGGGGGAUAGCCCGGCGAAAGCCGGAUUAAUACCGCAUACGCUCUAAGGAGGAAAGGGGGGGAUCUUAGGACCUCUCGCUCAAGGGGCGGCUGAUGGCAGAUUAGCUAGUUGGUGGGGUAAAGGCCUACCAAGGCGACGAUCUGUAGCUGGUCUGAGAGGACGACCAGCCACACUGGGACUGAGACACGGCCCAGACUCCUACGGGAGGCAGCAGUGGGGAAUUUUGGACAAUGGGCGCAAGCCUGAUCCAGCAAUGCCGCGUGUGUGAAGAAGGCCUUCGGGUUGUAAAGCACUUUUGUCCGGAAAGAAAACCCCUGCCCUAAUACGGCGGGGGGAUGACGGUACCGGAAGAAUAAGCACCGGCUAACUACGUGCCAGCAGCCGCGGUAAUACGUAGGGUGCGAGCGUUAAUCGGAAUUACUGGGCGUAAAGCGUGCGCAGGCGGUUCGUUAAGACAGAUGUGAAAUCCCCGGGCUUAACCUGGGAACUGCAUUUGUGACUGGCGGGCUAGAGUAUGGCAGAGGGGGGUAGAAUUCCACGUGUAGCAG
Molecule: ribosomal RNA, 583 nt
Filed under: uncultured bacterium
Lineage: Bacteria
Description: bacterial SSU rRNA
Rfam family: Bacterial small subunit ribosomal RNA
Source: RNAcentral